UGGCUGAGUGGUUAAGCAUCCGGCUUCAGCUCAGGUCAUGAUCUCGUGGCUAAAAAAGGAAGGAGAGAUUACCAGGACCCAGCAUGAAUUUCUUAAGAAGAAAUCCUGUCAAAUUCUCUUAACCUAAGUGUUUGAAAAAACAAGAUUAAAAAAGCCCCCCUGCUUCCAAAUUUUCUUUUAUUUUGGAUGGAGCCAAGCAGAUUAGAGCAAUGCUACUGACACGGUAUCUGUGGAUUUUUAGCAAGCGGCUGUCCAAGUCAUAAGAUGUCCUUAGAGACUGUUUGGAUACAGGCACUCUGCGAAGGAUGAGAGAUGCAAUUGUAAACAUGACCCCAUGCGUGUCUGCAAAGAAUUUACAGGCUCCUGGGACUGCCACGCAGGUCUACUGUGAAGCUGAAAUGAAACUCAGAUGUGACCAAGGCUCUGGCCAGGGACAACUCUUGCUAAGCUGGAGCUAGAACUCACACCUGCUGCAGAGAGUAAAAUGAGGCCCUGCUCUUCUCAGACCUCACCCCGGGUAGAGUAGAAGGUAGGUACUGCACCUUCCCAAGGCGUGCCCAGUGCUAGGCCAGGCCUGGCCUGGCUCUCCCCUCUCUACUGCCCCCUGCCCAAUGAACCUCUGAGCCUGGCAUCCGGGCUGAAGUUUUAUUCUUUUCCCAGUUCCCUUAAGUGACAUAAACACUGACUUAGGAACUAGAAGCAAAAUUUUUGGAAGAGCUAAAAACUGAAAGUAAACAGCUUCCUGAUUUUGGCUGGCUAGGUGGGCUUGCCAGUGGAUUGCUGCCUCAGAGACAAGUGAGGGCCCAGUACAGCUGCCUGCUUUGCUCAACUUUCACCCCCUUGGCUGGCUGCCUUCCCUUGGAGUGGCUCCCAGAGCCUUCUCUGAAGGCUAGGACUAGCGUUUCCUUGGGCUAAAAGAGAGUAGCAGAUUCAGCAGCCGCAGCAAGGAGAAGGGGGAAAGUGGGGACAAGACAGAGGCCAGGGGCCUAUCCCUUACAGGUAAAUCCUAAAUUCGAUCACCCAGCCUAACUUCAGUGUGGCUCCACGCUCUGCACUCCAUUCCUCACAGCCCCCUGGUCCCUCCCUGUUCUUCCUCUGAGAAGGCUUCCCUGACAACAGGCCCAUUCCACAGGGACUAGAGCCACUCUCUCACCCUGGACCUCAGGGCAUGAGGACUAAGCCAGAGACUUACGAGGCUCAGGAUCUAUCACCCUCAGGUGGGAGUGGUGUGUCAUCUUGGGCCCCUACCCCCCUGCAGAACGAAGAGGCCUGACUAAAUCAAGACUUCUCAACCCUCUGAACCCACACCCUGCCAGUAAGAGGACUCAAAAGUUCAGACUCCUGAGAGGGAAGGGUUAAUGUGACACUCCUGGAAGAGGUCCUGGCACUUCCCAGACUCUGGCUUCAGAGUAGCUCAGGCAACUUGAGCCCAGCAUCAGCCCGGGAAUCCUGAGGGCCCUUUCCCUCGCAGUGCCUGCCAAGCUGCAUUCUGGGCCAGGGUGGACACUAGCCAGUUCUGGCUGUUUCCCCUGACUUCUGUACACCAUUGGCUAGGGAGCUCAUCUCCUCCCGAAAGCUCUGUGUGGUCUUUAUCAGAAACCCUUGGACCUUUAGGACUCUUAUUGGUACUCUGCAGAGGACCAGGGACUCAGUGGCUCAAAGAAAUGAGGUAACACUUCAGGGCCUCCUGCUGUAAGAGGGACAUCUCAGCCAUCAGGCCCAGGCAACAGGCUGAGGCGAGAGGACACUGGGCUCAGGAGGUUGCCUUGGGCCCCUGAUCUGAUGAUUCUGUAGAGGCUGAGUUUCUCUACAAGGACUGCACAUGUCCUAGAUGCCUCUGGGGUUGAGAAAGGGAAACCAACAGGUAAACAAAUUCCUUGUGCUUCUGUGAGAAAAGCAGCAGACUUAAAGCCUUAAGAUUCAUAGACCAGCGGGCCAGAGACUUACGGGGCUAGGGAUCUAUCCCCUCAGGUGGGAGCGGUGUGUCAUCUUGGGCCUCUAACUCAGGGUCUGAAUCGAGGACACAGUCAACUACUACAGCCUGCAAACUGUUCUCCAUAGUUCAGGGGUGCUCUGUGGGGCCUAACUUCCCAGCUCCCAGUUCUUGGUGCUAAGCUUUUGAUCAUGCCCUCAUCUCUUAGUAUUUCACCCUACCAGUUCCCCCCAAAGUGGAACAACAUAACAGGGAAGACAUUUCAAUAAUAAUGAUGACAAAAAUAACAAUAACACUCAUACAGUUCUCUCUUACGUGCCACAAAGAACUGUACUUUACGUAUCUUACUCAGUCCUAAACAAAGCAAACCCUAGGUGUAAAGUCUCUUAUGCCCAUUUAAAAAAAAGUGUACUUAUUUGAGAGAGAGAGA
Molecule: long non-coding RNA, 2363 nt
Organism: Suricata suricatta (meerkat)
Lineage: Eukaryota; Metazoa; Chordata; Mammalia; Carnivora; Herpestidae
Exons: 3
Source: RefSeq, a predicted model, not a curated record